UACGGGGGGAGCAAGCGUUGUUCGGAUUUACUGGGCGUAAAGGGCGCGUAGGCGGCUUGGUCAAGUCACUUGUGAAAUCUCUGGGCUUAACCCAGAACGGCCAAGUGAAACUGACAUGCUAGAGUGCAGAAGGGGCAAUCGGAAUUCUUGGUGUAGCGGUGAAAUGCGUAGAUAUCAAGAGGAACACCUGAGGUGAAGACGGGUUGCUGGGCUGACACUGACGCUGGAGGCGCGAAAGCCAGGGGAGCAAACGGG
This 255-nucleotide ribosomal RNA is filed under the name uncultured bacterium. RNAcentral describes it as "partial 16S ribosomal RNA". It matches the Rfam family "Bacterial small subunit ribosomal RNA", at positions 524 to 776 of the family's 1533-position model. The record is from RNAcentral.